RNAcentral lists this transfer RNA (84 nucleotides) under Candidatus Taylorbacteria bacterium RIFCSPHIGHO2_01_FULL_51_15. RNAcentral describes it as "tRNA-Leu". It matches the Rfam family "tRNA". Rfam says of the family: Transfer RNA (tRNA) molecules are approximately 80 nucleotides in length. Their secondary structure includes four short double-helical elements and three loops (D, anti-codon, and T loops). Further hydrogen bonds mediate the characteristic L-shaped molecular structure. tRNAs have two regions of fundamental functional importance: the anti-codon, which is responsible for specific mRNA codon recognition, and the 3' end, to which the tRNAs corresponding amino acid is attached (by aminoacyl-tRNA synthetases). tRNAs cope with the degeneracy of the genetic code in two manners: having more than one tRNA (with a specific anti-codon) for a particular amino acid; and 'wobble' base-pairing, i.e. permitting non-standard base-pairing at the 3rd anti-codon position. Lineage: Bacteria; Candidatus Tayloriibacteriota. The record is from RNAcentral.
GCCGAGGUGACGGAAUUGGUAGACGUACGAGACUUAAAAUCUCGAGACCGUAAGGUCGUGUGGGUUCGAUUCCCACCCUCGGCA